RNAcentral lists this long non-coding RNA (651 nucleotides) under Homo sapiens (human). Its description in RNAcentral is "HSALNT0368363". Lineage: Eukaryota; Metazoa; Chordata; Mammalia; Primates; Hominidae. The record is from RNAcentral.
GGCUGGGGAGGAUUUACGGCUCUAAAGCCUUCCAUAUAACGCUUUAACGGUGGGCAGAGCGGUUUCUGUUGCGUCCCGUCCUGUACUUUUCGCACCCACCUGUGAGAUAGGCGUUAAGCGUUAUGCACGCUUUAUAGAUGUAGAAAGUGAAGUACGGUUAAGGAGGCGGUGUGAAGUGUCAAAGCUAUGAAAUGUAGAACUGCAUUAGCCUUGGCUAAUUCCACGUCAUAUAUUCUUGCCACUACACCACAGCUACCCACCAUUUUGGGGAUGGGAAACUGAUAGCUGGGGUCUACGAGAAAACAGUCUCGGAGCUAAAAAUGAAUGGGAAUAAUCCACAUGAGAGUUGCUCCUUCUGCCUGGGCCUGGGAAUGAGAAGACCUGUGGAGCUGAGCUACUGCUUACCCACAACCUGCAUAUACAUAAAUCAGAAGCCAGCACUGGUUGUUGUGAGUCGCUUAGAUUUUGGGCUUGAUGAAGAUGACCUUAGGCACAGUGACCCUGAAGGCCACAUGUUAAAGACAGUGGAGCCACAGGAUGGAAGGAAGCUGGUUCCCUGAAUCAUCACGUGGCAGAGAGCGGACCACUAAUCAGGAUCAUGUGUUUCAGAUUUCACUUGACCAAUAAAUCAAUUUCAAUUUUGUUACACUG